CGAAAUUUUAAGGCUUGAAGAUGUCAUAGAAGGGCUGAAUGAAGUGUUACUUAUAGACUAGAAUUCUGUAGAAGCCUAUGUAAUUACAGGUGAAAAUGUUUACAAGGACAAACACCAUGCAUGUUUUUGGGGUGUUUGGAAUGUAANAGGAUAAGAUGCUCAUUGAUGGUGAAAAAGUCAAAAAACUUUCAGUUUUAGAAAGAAGUACACUGAGAUGCAUGUCGACUCACCUAGGAGUGUCUAAAUCUUUGCUUCAUCAAUGGGUGAAGGAGAAAAAACUGAAACCACAUACAAAUGCCAUAAAACCCUUCCUUACCACACAAAACAAGCUAUGUAGGCUGAGGUGGAGCCUUAAACAGCUCAGUGGGGUCAGUGAGGAUGGUUUUAUACCAUUUCAAAGUAUGUACAACACCAUCCACAUCGAUGAAAAAUGGUUCUAUCUUACCAAAACCAAUGAUAGAUACUACCUCCUGCCCCGAUGAGGAAGAACCACAUAGGACAUGCAAAUCAAAAAGGCAUAUUGAAAAAUCAUGUUUAUGUGUGCUGUUGCGAGGCCUAUCAUUGAUGAAGAUGGCACAGUCAUAUUCGAUGGAAAGUUAGGCAUUUAUCCUUUCAUAACCAUAGAGCCAGCACAAAGGAACUCGAAAAACAGAGUGAAAGGUACGCUGGAAGUUAAGGCAAUUGCAGCAAUCACUAAGCCCAUCAUUAGAGACUGCCUUAUAAAACAGGUAAGCAUGCUCAAUUUUUUUUUAUUAAAUGCUAUCAGAAUAUUUGCAAAUUCAUCAUAUAGCCUUAAUCUGGCAGAUGGUUCUGACUUCAUGGCCAAGUGGCCGAAGACAUCAAGCAAGCACAUAUAUAUCCAACAAGAUAAUGCCAAACCACACAUUCAAGCAAAUGAUCCAGAGUUUCAAGCGGUUGCAAAUACUAAUGGAUUUAAAUUCCAAUUAGUAUGCCAGCCAUCUAAUUCACCGGAUACAAAUGUCAACGACCUCGGGUUUUUCAGAGCUAUUCAGAGCCUAAAAGAUCAAAAACCAGCCAAGAAUGUCGAGGAGUUACUAGAGAAUGUGAAAGCUGCGUACGAGGAAUACCCACCAGAGAAGCUCAACAAUGUUUUCCUAACCUUACAAGGCUGCUAUCAAGAGAUAAUCAAGUGUAAGGGUGGGAACAACUACAAGAUUCCACAUAUGAAUAAAGAAAGACUGUCCAGGCAGGGGGUGUUACCACGAUGUAUUCAAGUUGAAGAAUCACUUGUCAAGGAAAGUCUAGAGUUCCUACAGAUGGAAUCAAGUGAAGAAGGCGAAAUUUUAAGGCUUGAAGAUGUCAUAGAAGGGCUGAAUGAAGUGUUACUUAUAGACUAGAAUUCUGUAGAAGCCUAUGUAAUUACAGGUGAAAAUGUUUACAAGGACAAACACCAUGCAUGUUUUUGGGGUGUUUGGAAUGUAAACUUUUUGUAGAUGUUGCCCUCAGACUUUAACAUCAUCACUGGGCUAUUACAAUUACCUCAAUUGGCACCAAUGUCACUCAAUCGGCACCAAAGUCACUCAAUCGGCACCAACGAUGCCGAUUGUGCACCAAAGAUGCACAAUCGAUAUCACAGGUACAUAGAGAGCAUCACAGGUACACAGAGAGCAACAAAGGUACACCGAGAGCAACAAAGGUACACAAUCGGCAUUCACCAUGCAAAACAUAAGGCAUCACAGAGAACAAAUAGAGCAUCACAGGUACACAAUGAAGGCAGACAGAGAACUCAAUCAAGAGCACAGAGAAGGCAGCAAACACAUAAGGCAUCACCAGCCAUCCCCACCAAAGAAGCUGAAAUGAAAACACACAUAAGGCAUCACCAGCCAUCCCCACCAAAGUAAAAA
Molecule: long non-coding RNA, 1865 nt
Filed under: Salvia miltiorrhiza (redroot sage)
Lineage: Eukaryota; Viridiplantae; Streptophyta; Magnoliopsida; Lamiales; Lamiaceae
Description: long non-coding RNA (SMIL_LNC004547)
Source: RNAcentral